Molecule: transfer RNA, 70 nt
Filed under: Actinotignum urinale
Lineage: Bacteria; Bacillati; Actinomycetota; Actinomycetes; Actinomycetales; Actinomycetaceae
Also listed under: 2 other names
Rfam family: tRNA
About the family: Transfer RNA (tRNA) molecules are approximately 80 nucleotides in length. Their secondary structure includes four short double-helical elements and three loops (D, anti-codon, and T loops).
Source: RNAcentral
GCGGGGUAGCUCAGAUGGUCAGAGCGCACGACUCAUAAUCGUGAGGUCGCGGGUUCAAUCCCCGCCCCCG